This 212-nucleotide long non-coding RNA is filed under the name Hordeum vulgare. Its description in RNAcentral is "long non-coding RNA (HVUL_LNC012581)". Lineage: Eukaryota; Viridiplantae; Streptophyta; Magnoliopsida; Poales; Poaceae. The record is from RNAcentral.
UCUUCUUCUUCUUCUUCUUCUUCUUCUUUUCUUCUCCUCUUCUUCUUCUCCUAUUUUUCUUCUACUUCUCCUCUUCUUCUUAUUUUCUUCUUUUCUUUUUGUUCUUCAUCUUCUUCUUCUUCUUCUUCUUCUUCUUCUUCUUCUCCUUUUCUUCUCCUCUUCUUCUUCUCCUCUAUUUCUUCUUCUCCUCCUCUUAUUCUUCCUUUUCUUCU